CUGAUGGGCUGGAGGUUGGAGGACUGAUUCUGGGGCAGAAGGGAAACACAUGAGGUUUUUAGCUCCAAGAAGGGACUAAUUCACUAAACGUCAUGGCAAUUUUCCUGGACUGCAAAAAGGAGCGAGGACAUGGAAGCCUACAGAUCCAGGCUUUGCUUUCUAACCCCACCUGGGCAAUUCUCACCCUUCCCAACUCAGGUUUCACCCGCAGGAAAAGCCUGGCCGCAGGCUGCCACAGGCCAGCCACGCAUGACGUACAGAGCAGCCCUUGUCUCACCCAGUAGGAGUGAUGCAGGCAAAAAACACACCUGAUCCCAUCGCUUUCCAUGGCAACAGGGCUGCUCGUCAGGCCAGAUAACAAUGAUCCAUCAUCAGGAAGAGGCUUAUCCUAUGACAAGAGAGUGUUUUUGAAAGGUAACACGUCAGCAACAACUCCUCAACAACACUGUUUGUUAUUGUGGUACAUACAAAGAGAGGGCAAGGCUGCCAGCAUAACUUGCAUAUGGAACAGAAGACUCCUGCCCUGGAAGAAGGAACUGAGUACAGUCAUUCCCUUUCUCCGUGGGGAAUAUGUUCCAAGGCUCCCAGUGGAUGCCUGAAACCAUGGAGACUACUGAGCCCGACAUAUACUAUGUUUUUCCCUCUACACACAUACCUACAAUAGAGUUUAAUUUAUAA
This is a long non-coding RNA of Canis lupus familiaris (dog), 678 nucleotides long. RefSeq lists it as uncharacterized. The record is from RefSeq and is a predicted model, not a curated record. Lineage: Eukaryota; Metazoa; Chordata; Mammalia; Carnivora; Canidae. The transcript has 3 exons.